RNAcentral lists this long non-coding RNA (332 nucleotides) under Panax ginseng (ginseng). RNAcentral describes it as "long non-coding RNA (PGIN_LNC017135)". The record is from RNAcentral. Lineage: Eukaryota; Viridiplantae; Streptophyta; Magnoliopsida; Apiales; Araliaceae.
ACAAAGUGUGUUGAUGAUUCGGCCACCUGAGAUUUAAGACGGUUGCUCCGGCUGGAUUGAAAUCUGAAAAAUUUGCAGAAACAAUUUGAUUACCCCAUUUUCAGAAAGCUUUGAAACUUUCUAGGAUAUUUUUUAACAAAAUGGAAAGGAUUAUUAGAUUUGAAAAUUGAGACAGAUAAGUGAUAAUUGCAAUCAUCUAUAAUUAUAUUAUAUGGAAUCAAAAAUGGGGUUAUUAAGAAGUAAAUUAUGGUUUGGGUGUAAUGUAAUAUAGCUCUGUAAGUAAAUAAUGGUGAAAGCUUUUCUGCUCUGUUUGUUGUUUGUUGAUAAUGAAG